Molecule: small nucleolar RNA, 83 nt
Organism: Coffea eugenioides
Lineage: Eukaryota; Viridiplantae; Streptophyta; Magnoliopsida; Gentianales; Rubiaceae
Product: small nucleolar RNA U83
Exons: 1
Source: RefSeq, a predicted model, not a curated record
UGCCAAUGAUGAUUUACAGUGAUGAUGUUAUGUAUGAGAAAUCAGGGAUUACAACACCACUCUACUGCCUUCCUUCUGAGGCA